AUGACUCAGCUGUAUGAGAUCGGAGAAAAAUGGGCUAAGCCAUACUUCAAGGGUGUUUUCUGCGCGAAGAUGACCAGCACCCAGCGGAGCGAGAGUGCGAACCACAUGCUGAAGAAUUAUGUGCCGCCUGGCUCCCCGAUGCACAAAUUUGUGAGGCAGUACAUGAGGUUGCAAUUUGAUAGGGCAUCUGACGAGAGGUGCGAAGAGAAGUGA
RNAcentral lists this ribosomal RNA (213 nucleotides) under Triticum aestivum (bread wheat). RNAcentral's name for it is "partial small subunit ribosomal RNA". The record is from RNAcentral. Lineage: Eukaryota; Viridiplantae; Streptophyta; Magnoliopsida; Poales; Poaceae.